RNAcentral lists this ribosomal RNA (228 nucleotides) under uncultured bacterium. RNAcentral's name for it is "partial 16S ribosomal RNA". It matches the Rfam family "Bacterial small subunit ribosomal RNA", at positions 568 to 796 of the family's 1533-position model. The record is from RNAcentral.
UGCGCAGGCGGAAUGAUUAGUCAGUGGUGAAGCCCUCGGCUCAACCGAGGAACUGCCAUUGAUACUGUCAUUCUUGAGUACAGUUGUAGUGGGCGGAAUGUGUCAUGUAGCGGUGAAAUGCAUAGAGAUGACACAGAACACCGAUCGCGAAGGCAGCUCACUAAGCUGAAACUGACGCUCAGGCACGAAAGCGUGGGUAGCAAACAGGAUUAGAUACCCUGGUAGUCC